AACGGUCUAUACCUGCGGUACCUGCGGAGGGAUCAUUACUGAAGUUACCUUCUAAAACCAUCAUGUGAACCUUACCCCUGCCGCGCUGUUGCCUCGGCGGGACGCCGGAGCCCCGGCUCCGGCGCCGCCGGCAGCGCCAAACUCUACCUUGAAACAGCGGAAACGCACUCUGAUUUAGAAGCGAAAACAAGUCAAAACUUUCAACAACGGAUCUCU
RNAcentral lists this unclassified non-coding RNA (216 nucleotides) under soil metagenome. RNAcentral's name for it is "partial contains 5.8S ribosomal RNA, internal transcribed spacer 2, and large subunit ribosomal RNA". The record is from RNAcentral.